GGACCAGACAGUCCAGUGGUUGACAUGAAGAUCUCGCAAGAACCGAUCCUGGGGAAACCCGACUAUAAAUAGCCAUGAGGUGUGACUGACUAUCAUACACCUUUUCUUAACUUCCUUUAAUUCCAUGUUCAAACUAAACUUUAUGUUACCGCGGUCCGAGGAGAAACAUCGGUUCUGGAUAUCUGUUCAAGGGUUCCUAAGAUUCCAUAGCUCAACAUGAAGUUUUCCACUACCAGACAUCAAUGUUAUGAAUGUGAAGACAUUGGGGGGAUUCUCGGGGACUUCGUGAACCAAUCUCUUCUCGAACCUCCCCACCUUAGUCGCGCGGAGUACGUUGAACUGACGUUGAAGCAGAAGAUGCGACUGCUGCAGCAACCAUCAACCUCCACACCACAACAUGGCCGACUGUGGAAUACCGAGGACAGACUCCAGACUCUGAAUGCAGCUACAGACAACAUGGCGAACAUACCGGAUGCUGAUCUCGCCACCAUCGCCCGGGCAGGAUUUUACCACUCAGGCACUGAUAACACCUUAACGUGUUUCUUCUGUGGCUGCAACGCCCACAAUUGGCGUGUUGACGACGAUCCUUGGAGGCGACAUGCGGAGCUGCAGAUGACGUGCCCGGUGCUGCGCAGGAACGUCUACACACAGAUCAAGGACGGGAACAUCUCCUUCAGGCCUAGGAGACGCCUUUUCUCAGAGAGUUGCGCCAGUCCUCCACCGUCGAGCUAUACCUCAACAUUUCAGUAAUCUACAGCUGGUACAGAUUUCCCCAGGAAUCGCUGGUCUCCCUUGGGCUCCUUUUCAAUGAGUGUUUGAGGAACAUCACAUCCACCAAAACACUCACGUCGUCAAGAUGUUGUCCACGCUGCUGAUGGUUGUGCUUGGUCUGUACACAGGUGUGGUAGAUGACGAGUCCCCAGCAGCAGGUCAGCGCUCUAAAACGGAAUCACAGAGGUCACGUUCCUGGAAGAGGGGGAAGUGUACACAGUGCAAAGUCGGCAGUGCCAACACAGUGUUCCUGCCGUGUGGCCACGUGGUGUGUUGUGCCGACUGCAGCCUCGUCUCCCGGACGUGUGACGUAUGCCACGUACCCAUCAGAGGCAGUCUCAGGACUAGCUCAUCAAAUGGGGAGUUACAUAACAUCUAAGAUGAGCAUAUGUUGCUACGUGUAUUGGCAGGGGCUGCCUCUCUAAUAUAGUAUAUGCAUGCAUUUCUAUCAGCAUGCAUUGAAAUGUAUAUGUACGAUGUAUGUGAACAUGUUUAAUGUUCAGUGUCUUUUGUAUAUUUAGUGAUAUCGGAUAUGUUGUUGUUACAUAUAGAAAAUAAAAUACUGUGCAAGUUAACUGAUAAUAGUCUUUUUGUUGAAAGUGAACACAUCGCACUGCCACCAUGUUGUCACAUUACCUUGACUCUUGUAUGUGCUAUGAGCACGCCCCAGUGGAGUUUAGUGCCAUAUAAAUAGACAUUAUUAUUACAAUGCAGGUAACAUAGGUUAUUUUUUCGGGAUGUUUAGUUUUCAUGAAGUUUUGUUACUAAUUGAGAGAAUGUUUAGAAUAAAACAUACCAAGAUGGUAGUGGAAUGUCGAUUUUGUAAUCAAAAUCGUUUUUCUUUGAUAAUCUUGCUAUUACCAAAACAGACGUACAAUGGCAUAACUAUAUAUUCAUACAUGUCACAUGGUAAACAACAGUGUGAAGGCUUAGAAUCGAUUUCAGGUGUUUCAAUAAAAAAUACUUAAGGAAUACGUUUUCUUCUUCAUGCUAUUUCAACGCUAGUCUACAAUCCAAUAAAUAUCUCAAUCAAUUGUGAAUAUAUAAUUAUCAAAAACAGAUAAGGUGACUGGUACGAGAAUGACAAUAUCACAUCAUUCCUUUGUUGUCAGCUUCUCUCUCAGUUCCACCUGAAUUAGUUGCCACUGGCCCGUGAAGAUCUAGGUUAGAAGUAUUUAAUGCCGAAUCCUCACCGAGGGCUGUUCCAGUACUUGCCUAGCUGUCUUUACAUAGCACAUUGUCCACAUAGCUUUACCAGUAAGCGUAUUUUUGUACCUGACGUGUGCAUCGGCUUCGUCAGCUUGUUAAAUAUAACCUAACGCUAUAUAUAUACAUGUAUAGUGAUCUGGCGAUAUUUAAGGAACCUUCCGGUAGUUGGCCACAAGGCAACAGAUUGUAACGUAUUAACAGACUUAGCUCAGCAUCCGUGAAGAUCCAAUUAGAAUUGACCUUCAGCAACCCAUGGUUGUCGUAAGAGCCGAUUAACGGGAUCGGGUGGUCAGGGAUCAGUCACUCAUGAGGAAGGGAAACCAGAGCUAGUUAUACUGAUGACGUCGUGCUAAAUAUACAGCCUCGUGUCUGUUCAAUCCUCCAGUGCGAGGAGGUUCGUCAGUCACAACAGUCACACAUCUCAGGCAGACUCUACAGGCAACGACGAGUUAUCUCCCUUAGGGAUCAGUCACUCAUGAAGAAGGGAAACCAGAGCUAGUUAUACUGAUGACGUCGUGCUAAAUAUACAGCCUCGUGUCUGUUCUAUCCUCCAGUGCGAGGAGGUUCGGCAGUCACAACAGUCACACAUCUCAGGCAGACUCUACAGGCAACGACGAGUUAUCUCCCUUAGGUACACCCAGGGGAAUGUCGGCUGAUCCAGUCAAACAUGGAUACCGUACAAGAACCCAUCAUGCCUCUCACCAGAAGUAUGGGAAGUGUCGGUCAUGUGGGCAGAAGGACAUUUGUCUGGUGUUUCUUCCCUGUGGUCACGUGGUGUGUUGUGAUGUCUGCGGGGCAUCCGUGAGCAGUUGUGUGGUGUGUGACCGACCCAUUAGGGGGAGUAUCAGGACCUACUGAGGUCACUGACCCCCUAACACGGUGCCUGCAUGGAACUGGGAUAAAACUACAACCAUCUAUACCUGUGUAGAUCGUGUCACUUACUGAUCACACGAAAACACGUACCUUAUGACUUGCGAAGCUGUUAAAAAAAUUAUGUCCUGAACAUCUGGAUGCUGUUUUUUUUUUUAUUGUGAAAUUAUCGUUUGGCUUACUAGUUCCUGGCCGAAAGCCAACCCCCAACCUAUGAAGCGCAUGAAGGAUAUAUGUUUCUUAAAAUCCACACAUUCAAAAUAGAAUAAAACGAUCAAACGUUUCGUGCAAAUUUGAUUCAUUCUGGUUUAAGCUUUAUCACGUUCUGUACUUCUUCCUUUUGAAAAACCCUCUUCUUCCUCCGCAAAUAAAUAUAUUGUGUUUGUAA
Molecule: unclassified non-coding RNA, 3238 nt
Filed under: Haliotis rubra (blacklip abalone)
Lineage: Eukaryota; Metazoa; Mollusca; Gastropoda; Lepetellida; Haliotidae
Description: baculoviral IAP repeat-containing protein 3-like, transcript variant X4
Source: RNAcentral